This 40-nucleotide microRNA is filed under the name Canis lupus familiaris (dog). Its description in RNAcentral is "miRNA (ENSCAFG00845000746.1, ENSCAFG00845000747.1, ENSCAFG00845021701.1)". The record is from RNAcentral. Lineage: Eukaryota; Metazoa; Chordata; Mammalia; Carnivora; Canidae.
AUAUUGAACUCGAGUUGGAAGAGGCGAGUCCGGUCUCAAA